UGAUGUUACUAUGAUCUAGAAACAUGAAUAUAUAAAGCUGAAUAUAAUUAUGUUAGAAAUUUCGAUGUUACUAUUCUAAAAUUUCAGUUAAAAAGAAAAGUCUUUCGGAUCUCCACGUUUAUCAAAAAAAAAACUUUGAAGUUUAAUUUUGUAAGAAACUUAUGCUUUAUUUUUCCCAAUUGGCUGAAUAUACAGUUACUUUUAUUUAUCACUGAUUAUCGAAUCUUGCUUGAAUACUAGCUCUAUUACUAUAAAAAAAAAUGUUAGAACCUCCAGAUAAAUCGAACACUAAAUCUGUUGUUUAUGACACUUACAAGUGAUUCAAAUAAAAAUCUAAUCGGCCGGGUCAAACAAAGUUCCGACAAGCAGACUUAUA
Molecule: long non-coding RNA, 376 nt
Filed under: Brassica napus (rape)
Lineage: Eukaryota; Viridiplantae; Streptophyta; Magnoliopsida; Brassicales; Brassicaceae
Description: long non-coding RNA (BNAP_LNC005912)
Source: RNAcentral